Small nuclear RNA from Nycticebus coucang (slow loris), 106 nucleotides. NCBI's taxonomy places the organism in Eukaryota, Metazoa, Chordata, Mammalia, Primates, Lorisidae. The record is from RefSeq and is a predicted model, not a curated record.
AUGCUUGUUUUGGCAGCACAUAUACUAAAAUUGGAACAGUACAGAGAAGAUUAGCAUGACCACUACACGAGAUGAUAUACAAAUUUGUGAAACAUUCCAUUUUUUU